CGGGAUGUGCUUGCACAUCGCUGACGAGUGGCGGACGGGUGAGUAAUGCUUGGGAACUUACCUUUGCGAGGGGGAUAACAGUUGGAAACGGCUGCUAAUACCGCAUAAUGUCUUCGGACCAAACGGGGCUUCUGCUCCGGCGCAAAGAGAGGCCCAAGUGAGAUUAGCUAGUUGGUAAGGUAACGGCUUACCAAGGCGACUAUCUCUAUCUGUUCUGAGAGGAAUAUCAGCCACACUGGGACUGACACACGGCCCACACUCCUACGGGAGGCAGCAGUGGGGAAUAUUGCACAGUGGGGGAAACCCUGAUGCACCCAUGCCGCGUGUGUGAAGAAGGCCUUCGGGUUGUAAAGCACUUUCUUUUGUGAGGAAAAGUUAGUAGUUAAUACCUGCUAGCCGUGACGUUAACAACAAAAGAAGCACCGGCUAACUCCGUGCCAGCAGCCGCGGUAAUACGGAGGGUGCGAGCGUUAAUC
This 476-nucleotide ribosomal RNA is filed under the name uncultured Alteromonas sp. Its description in RNAcentral is "bacterial SSU rRNA". It matches the Rfam family "Bacterial small subunit ribosomal RNA", at positions 70 to 546 of the family's 1533-position model. Lineage: Bacteria; Pseudomonadati; Pseudomonadota; Gammaproteobacteria; Alteromonadales; Alteromonadaceae. The record is from RNAcentral.